This 422-nucleotide ribosomal RNA is filed under the name uncultured bacterium. RNAcentral describes it as "bacterial SSU rRNA". It matches the Rfam family "Bacterial small subunit ribosomal RNA", at positions 355 to 774 of the family's 1533-position model. The record is from RNAcentral.
UAAGGAAUAUCGGUCAAUGGACGCAAGUCUGAACCAGCCAUGCCGCGUGGAGGAUUAAGGCCCUCUGGGUUGUAAACUCCUUUUAUCUGGGAAGAAAUGUACUUUUUCUUGAGUACUUGACGGUACCAGAGGAAUAAGCACCGGCUAACUCCGUGCCAGCAGCCGCGGUAAUACGGAGGGUGCAGGCGUUAUCCGGAUUCACUGGGUUUAAAGGGUGCGUAGGUGGGCAGGUAAGUCAGUGGUGAAAUCUCCGGGCUUAACCCGGAAACUGCCGUUGAUACUAUUUGUCUUGAAUAUUGUGGAGGUAAGCGGAAUAUGUCAUGUAGCGGUGAAAUGCUUAGAUAUGACAUAGAACACCAAUUGCGAAGGCAGCUUACUACACAAUCAUUGACGCUGAGGCACGCAAGCGUGGGGAUCAAACA